GACGAACGCUGGCGGCGUGCUUAACACAUGCAAGUCGAACGGAAAGGCCCUGCUUUUGUGGGGUGCUCGAGUGGCGAACGGGUGAGUAACACGUGAGUAACCUGCCCUUGACUUUGGGAUAACUUCGGGAAACUGGGGCUAAUACCGGAUAGGAGCUCCUGCUGCAUGGUGGGGGUUGGAAAGUUUCGGCGGUUGGGGAUGGACUCGCGGCUUAUCAGCUUGUUGGUGGGGUAGUGGCUUACCAAGGCUUUGACGGGUAGCCGGCCUGAGAGGGUGACCGGCCACAUUGGGACUGAGAUACGGCCCAGACUCCUACGGGAGGCAGCAGUGGGGAAUAUUGCACAAUGGGCGGAAGCCUGAUGCAGCAACGCCGCGUGCGGGAUGACGGCCUUCGGGUUGUAAACCGCUUUCGCCUGUGACGAAGCGUGAGUGACGGUAAUGGGUAAAGAAACACCGGCUAACUACGUG
RNAcentral lists this ribosomal RNA (468 nucleotides) under uncultured bacterium. RNAcentral describes it as "partial 16S ribosomal RNA". It matches the Rfam family "Bacterial small subunit ribosomal RNA", at positions 28 to 507 of the family's 1533-position model. The record is from RNAcentral.